AACAAGCAAUUGGGUUAAUAACACGCAAUUGGUGUAGCUUACACAUUGUUCUUCUUAUCAUUUCUUUUGGUUUAUUAUUUAUUUAAUAUCGAUUAUUUUGCUUUGUAGUAUGUGUUUAUUUUUUCUAAUGUUUGAAGAUAUAACUUUGUGUAUAUAUUUUUUAUGGUGUAUUUGAAGAUCUAAUAUUUUUAUGUAUAUAUAUAUUUUUUUGAAAAUUUUUUAUUGAAAAAUUGAACAAACAACAAGCAUGUUGCAGUCGAAUAAUAAAGCAGACGAAAAAAUCAAAGAAGCAUGACAGUCAAAAAACCCAAAGGUUUAUACUCUCUCUCUCUCUUUUCCUCUAUUUAAAUAAAAAAUUUUAAAAAAUAAUUCAAACUUUUCGUCUUUCAUUAAAAUAAUAUAAAAUAGACAAAAUAUUCUUUUCACCUUUUAAUAUAUUAUAGUCAGCAACAAAAAUUUAAUUAUUUACCUAAAAUUUAGAACUUUUUUAUCAUACGUUUUACGUAUAAUUUUUUUUUUAAAUUCUUUUUUCUCCAAAGACAAACGUUCACAAUUUUUUUGGUGGCAAAAAAUGAUUGUCGUAUGUCUGAGUUAGAAUACUUUGAUUUUUUCGGAUUCAUUAUAACUUUAUAGUUUUCUUUGACAAAUAGAUUCUUUAUUGAGGAUAGGUUUUUGUUUAGGUUUAAUCACAAAUGUGCUUGUGAUUUGAGGUAAGUUUUCUAAAAUUUUGGUAUGACUUUUAUAUUUAUAAAAAUAAAUUGUCAUAUACUUUGAUAGAUAGACGAUUGUUAAUUAAGAAGUUUUCUUUUGUGAUUUAAGUAUGUUCUUGAAGUUUAAAAUAAUAAAUUAUCAUGUAUUCUUGAUAGAUUAUCGCUAAUUGAGAAGUUUUCUGUGAUUUUUAUUUAUAAUAAUCUAUUAAUAUAAUAGAUAUAGAUAUAUCUCUAAAAGAUCAAGUUCAUACUUUAAUUGUAAAAUAUGACUUAAUUAAUGUAUCUGUUAGAGAAUUAUUUUCAUAAAAAAAAAACUAUUUAUUCACAUAAGUAGGUCAUGAGAACUUGCAAACCCAACAUCAUAUAUGUGUCAAAUCCAAUUCAAUAUCACCUUCUUGAAUCAAAGUAGAAGUGGAUUAAAUGAUAGGGUGCAAUAGCCACUUUUUAAUUGCUGAAUUUUUCUUUACUUUAUUAUAGUUUAGAAUGUGUUUUGAUAGGCGUUUGGUUAUAAAAGAAAAAAAAAUGGAGCUAAGUUGAAGUUGGAGUUGUAAUUAGAAUUAUAGUUUUAGUUGAGUUUGACUAUGAAUAUAUAUUUUGUGAGAGAAAUGAGAAUAAAAAAAAGUGAAUACAGGUUGAGAUUUGUUUCACUUUUUCAAAGUUGUAUUUGGAGUUUGUACAGCCAAACAUCAUUUCUUAAAUAAAGUGAAAAAUAUUUUUGAAAAGAAUUGCUUUCUCAUGGCCAAACUUAACCUAAGUGUAUUAAUACGAACAUAAUUUUAACUUUUGAUAUUAAUGAAAAAUUUUGUUAACUACAUUUGAUUUUGUUCCUUAAUUAUUAGUAUGAUAGUGGGUUAUCAUGUUCCUCUUUAAACACACUUUUUAGGUUAAAAAAUUUACGUUAAUUUUGGUAAAAUUUAAAAUUGUUGAUUUCUCCCUAAAAGAUAGUUUUUCUCUUUACUGAUUAUCAUAUUUUAUCCAUCAAUAUGAAGAUGCGAAGAAAAUAAUACGAGAUGCUAUACUAUUUGAAAUACAAUAUUAUAUAUAUUAUUUAAAUAGACAUAUGUUUGUUUCAGCGUCAGUUGAUACUUUUAAUAUAUAGUUUUAUUGCUUGAUGCAAGACACACAUGCAACGCACGUACACUAACCUAGUUCAAAAAAAGAGUAAGAAGGAGUUGAAGCAUAGUCAAGUAUGUAGGCUGAAGGUUAAAAGUAAACACAAACUAUUAAAAAAAAAUGUAAUGUUCUACUAUUAAAACUGAAAAUCAUAUUCUGAAUUAAAUUCAACCAAUAAUAACAACAAAUGAAAUGUAAUUCUUAAGUGAGGCUUAGAAGAAUAGAGUAUACGUUGACCUUACUCCUAUCUUGAAAAGGAGAAACAGAAUAAUGUCAAAUUCUUUUAAGUACCAGCAGUCCAAGAAAGCAGCUAAAAUACACAAUGUACAAGGACUUUUCGAUUUUUUUAGGAUACAAGCACAAAAAAUAAGUUCAACUAAUCCAAUAGAAAAGAACGACAAAAGCAAACUCUGGAACAAAAAUAAACAAACAAUAACCAUUUUAGAUAAAUUCGAGACUGUCUUUCAUACAUCCAUAACAAUCAAGGAAAAGAUAUUUAGUUAAGUACAUAACGCAUUUCAAGAGAUAAAUUGGACAAUUACAUAACAUAACUAAUCUUCUCAAGACUAAAAAGAAAAAAGAAGAAACAUUGACAAACAAAAUUAAGAAUUACCUGUAAAAUAUUUACUUGUUUUUCGUUUAUUUAAGUACAAAUGUCACAAAAGAAUCCAUCGAACAUAUCAUCUAUGAGAACUCCUUCAAUUAGGACAAUUCAAAUCUCAUCAUUUUAUAGUAAAUCAACAAAUCAACAUGUUUGAUAAUGAUAUAUGAUCAUCCAAAAGUAUAGAACAAAACAAAAAUAUUAAUCAAUUAAAUUCAAAACUCUCAAAUCUUUUUAAUUCAAAAACAAAGAAAAUAAUUAAAACUCCUGAACUCUUGAACACGUACUCGAUUCUCUGUAACUUCGAUUUCCACCACGCAUUCAUAACAACCUAGGAAAAGAUAUCUAGCUAAGCGCAUAAAACAUGUCAAAAUAUCAAAAUAUAAUCUUAUAUUUCGAAUUUAACAAAUAAGUAUAAUUACAAAUUCAACUAUAAUACUAACAAAUAAUAUGCCAAAAUAUAGUAAAUUAACAUAAUCAAAGCUAAUCAAAAUUAAGUAACAAUUAAAAAAGAAAGAAAAAGAGAUAAAUCUUUUAUAUUUUGGCUACUUCAUUCGGUAUCAACAUGC
This 2993-nucleotide long non-coding RNA is filed under the name Capsicum annuum. RNAcentral describes it as "long non-coding RNA (CANN_LNC015429)". The record is from RNAcentral. Lineage: Eukaryota; Viridiplantae; Streptophyta; Magnoliopsida; Solanales; Solanaceae.